GACGAACGCUGGCGGCGUGCUUAACACAUGCAAGUCGAACGGAAAGGCUCUGCUUUUGUGGGGUGCUCGAGUGGCGAACGGGUGAGUAACACGUGAGUAACCUGCCCUUGACUUUGGGAUAACUUCAGGAAACUGGGGCUAAUACCGGACAUGAGCUCCUGCUGCAUGGUGGGGGAUGGAAAGUUUCGGCGGUUGGGGAUGGAAUCGCGGCUUAUCAGCUUGUUGGUGGGUUAGUGGCUUACCAAGGCGUUGACGGGUAGCCGGCCUGAGAGGGUGACCGGCCACAAUGGGACUGAGGUACGGCCCAUACUCCUACUGGGGGCAGCAGUGGAGAAUAUUGCACAAUGGGCGGAAGCCGUAUGCAGCAACGCCGCGUGCGGGAUGACGGCCGUCAGGUUGUAAACCUCUUUCGCCUGGGACGAAGCGUGAGUGACGGUAAUGGGUAAAGAAGCACCGGCUAACUACGUG
RNAcentral lists this ribosomal RNA (468 nucleotides) under uncultured bacterium. RNAcentral describes it as "partial 16S ribosomal RNA". It matches the Rfam family "Bacterial small subunit ribosomal RNA", at positions 28 to 507 of the family's 1533-position model. The record is from RNAcentral.